Molecule: non-coding RNA, 81 nt
Organism: Cordylochernes scorpioides
Lineage: Eukaryota; Metazoa; Arthropoda; Arachnida; Pseudoscorpiones; Chernetidae
Source: the annotation of a GenBank genome assembly
UGGCGCCGUGGAUGUCAUUCUUGUAUAAUAUCGAACCCGGGCCGCCCGCAUGGCAGGCGAGCAUUCUACCUCUGAACCACC